AUGGAGAAGAUGGUGGGGCUGCUGCAGAACCUGCGGCUGUCGGAGGAAGAGAGGAAGGGGGUAAAGAUCAGGAGAGAUGCGCAAGGAAAAGGGAAGGAGACGGAGAUCCGGGCGAUCGGGAAGGUCAUGUCAGAUAUGCCGGCGCACCCAGAUGCGAUCUGUAACUCUUUGGGGAAGGUCUGGAGCCCCAUCCGCGGAGUGGAGUGCAAGGAGUUGGGCGACAACAUAUUCAUGUUCAUCUUCAACCAGGAGAGGGAGAUGAGGAAGGCCCUGGAUGACGGUCCGUGGAUGUUUGACAACGACUUGGUGGUGAUGGAGGAGUUUGUAUCGAGGAAGCGGAUUAAAGAUUAUGACUUCAAGGAAAUACCAAUUUGA
Molecule: ribosomal RNA, 375 nt
Filed under: Triticum aestivum (bread wheat)
Lineage: Eukaryota; Viridiplantae; Streptophyta; Magnoliopsida; Poales; Poaceae
Description: partial small subunit ribosomal RNA
Source: RNAcentral